Molecule: ribosomal RNA, 447 nt
Filed under: uncultured bacterium
Lineage: Bacteria
Description: bacterial SSU rRNA
Rfam family: Bacterial small subunit ribosomal RNA
Source: RNAcentral
GUUUGAUCCUGGCUCAGACACGCUGGCGGCAUGCCUAACACAUGCAAGUCGAACGAGACCUUCGGGUCUAGUGGCGCACGGGUGCGUAACGCGUGGGAAUCUGCCCUUCGGUUCGGAAUAACUCAGGGAAACUUGAGCUAAUACCGGAUAAUGACGUAAGUCCAAAGAUUUAUCGCCGAAGGAUGAGCCCGCGUAGGAUUAGCUUGUUGGUGGGGUAAUGGCCCACCAAGGCGACGAUCCUUAGCUGGUCUGAGAGGAUGAUCAGCCACACUGGGACUGAGACACGGCCCAGACUCCUACGGGAGGCAGCAGUGGGGAAUAUUGGACAAUGGGCGAAAGCCUGAUCCAGCAAUGCCGCGUGAGUGAUGAAGGCCUUAGGGUUGUAAAGCUCUUUUACCCGGGAUGAUAAUGACAGUACCGGGAGAAUAAGCUCCGGCUAACUCCGUG